This is a long non-coding RNA of Ipomoea triloba (trilobed morning glory), 339 nucleotides long. RefSeq lists it as uncharacterized. The record is from RefSeq and is a predicted model, not a curated record. Lineage: Eukaryota; Viridiplantae; Streptophyta; Magnoliopsida; Solanales; Convolvulaceae. The transcript has 3 exons.
UCGCAGGUUUGUUUAACAACCAAGGCCACACUGUUUUUGAUAUCUCUAGUCCUAAUAAUAUUCGUCAUCACAGCAGCUCAAGGUGGGCCGGGCAAGAUCGCCGUUCGGGGCCAUUCAUCGCCAGGUGCUCAUUCAGCAGUCGGACAAAACCCACCAAGUCAGCAUAGCCGUAUGUCGUUCAAAACUCUGGAAAGAGCCCCUGUGUGUGAAAGACGUUAUAGAGGAUGUAUCGGCGGCAUCCAGCAGCCAAAGCCAGUUUGCUCAAAGUAUAUGAGAGGAUGUGUCAGAAAUUAAUAAUGCAUGCAAGAUUAAUAUAGUGAAGAAUCGAAUUCUAUGUAG